CCUGCCCUCAGGUCUGGGAUAACCACGAGAAAUCGGGGCUAAUACCGGAUGGGUCAUCGGACCGCAUGGUCCGAGGAUGAAAGGCGCUUCGGCGUCGCCUGGGGAUGGCUUUGCGGUGCAUUAGCUAGUUGGUGGGGUAAUGGCCCACCAAGGCGACAAUGCAUAGCCGACCUGAGAGGGUGAUCGGCCACACUGGGACUGAGACACGGCCCAGACUCCUACGGGAGGCAGCAGUAGGGAAUCUUCCACAAUGGACGAAAGUCUGAUGGAGCAACGCCGCGUGAACGAUGAAGGCCUUCGGGUCGUAAAGUUCUGUUGUAAGGGAAGAACAAGUGCCGCAGGCAAUGGCGGCACCUUGACGGUACCUUGCGAGAAAGCCACGGCUAACUACGUGCCAGCAGCCGCGGUAAUACGUAGGUGGCAAGCGUUGUCCGGAAUUAUUGGGCGUAAAGCGCGCGCAGGCGGCCUCUUAAGUCUGAUGUGAAAGCCCCCGGCUCAACCGGGGAGGGCCAUUGGAAACUGGGAGGCUUGAGUAUAGGAGAAAAGAGUGGAAUUCCACGUGUAGCGGUGAAAUGCGUAGAGAUGUGGAGGAACACCAGUGGCGAAGGCGACUCUUUGGCCUAUAACUGACGCUGAGGCGCCAAAGCGUGGGGAGCAAACGGGAUUAGAUACCCUUGUAGUCCACGCCGUUAACGAUGAAUGCUAGGUGUUGGAAGGGUUUCCGCCCCUUCAGUGGUGAAGCCUAACGCAUUAAGCACUCCGCCUGGGGAAU
This 772-nucleotide ribosomal RNA is filed under the name Exiguobacterium mexicanum. RNAcentral describes it as "bacterial SSU rRNA". It matches the Rfam family "Bacterial small subunit ribosomal RNA", at positions 125 to 881 of the family's 1533-position model. The record is from RNAcentral. Lineage: Bacteria; Bacillati; Bacillota; Bacilli; Caryophanales.